UUAAGUCUACAUGUUCCUGGUCCACCAGGC
RNAcentral lists this small RNA (30 nucleotides) under Bombyx mori (domestic silkworm). RNAcentral's name for it is "ovarian small RNA-36375". The record is from RNAcentral. Lineage: Eukaryota; Metazoa; Arthropoda; Insecta; Lepidoptera; Bombycidae.